Molecule: small nucleolar RNA, 97 nt
Filed under: Jaculus jaculus (lesser Egyptian jerboa)
Lineage: Eukaryota; Metazoa; Chordata; Mammalia; Rodentia; Dipodidae
Description: Small nucleolar RNA SNORA71 (ENSJJAG00000009864.1)
Source: RNAcentral
CCCUGGUCAUUGCUAGUGCAGGGAGAAGACACGGAAAGCCUUGCACCACAUUUGGAAGGUCACUCCUGUCUUUGCCAGACCUUGCUGCUUUCCUAUA